CCUACGGGAGGCAGCAGUCGAGAAUAGUCUACAAUGGUCGGAAGACUGAUAGUGCGACGCCGCGUGAACGAUGAAUCCCUUCGGGGUGUAAAGUUCUUUUAUAUGUGAGCAGUGCUUCUUAUAUUAACAGUAUGGGGAGAGAGAUAUUAGCAUAUGAAUAAGCAACGGCUAACUCCGUGCCAGCAGCCGCGGUAAU
Molecule: ribosomal RNA, 196 nt
Filed under: uncultured bacterium
Lineage: Bacteria
Description: partial 16S ribosomal RNA
Rfam family: Bacterial small subunit ribosomal RNA
Source: RNAcentral